GCAAGGGAGGGCUUGGGGGGGUUGCCCCGGCUUUGGCCCCUCCCCCGUGGUGCCCUGCGCAGGGCUCGGUGGGUGGGUGUGCGGUGGGCACAGCCCCUGAUUUUCUCCUGCUGAGCAACUCCCAGCGACCAGGGUCAUUCCUGCUGAGACUUCCCUUGGGGACAGCGUGGGCCACCCUGCAGGCCUGAAGCUCUGGGUGAGAUGGGCCAGCCUGCACACCUGGCUGAGAGUGCCCGAGACCUGUGACCGUGUCCUGGCUGAGCCCCGGCUCAGCCUCUGGCUGGUCCAGCUGGGAUCCUCGGCAGUGACCCGAUCCCGACCCCCAGGAGAAGCCCAGCAGACCUUCGGGGAGCGAGUGAACGAGUGUGGCGUGGCCUCCCUGGAAACUUGGUUCAGGAGAAUCCAAGGAUGAAAAGCCUCCCGACUCCAGGAUGAUGAUGUAUUUCUGAAGGACAUCUCAAAGCCCCGGAAGGACCGACAGUGCUGGCACUCAGCUUCCAACAAUGACGACUUCCACCCCGACUUUUCCUGCAUUGAAUCUGCAUCUCAGAAUCUUGGGACAUGUCUGCAGAACUGAAGCCCGUGUGUCCACCUAGCCCCAUCCGCCCCAUAGGAAGCAGUCCUGACUUGACCCUUCGGAGGAGGCCCGCCCUCCCAGGAGCCCUCUGCCCACGCCUGGCUGCCCUGUGCUCCACAGGCCAUAUGUCAUCCCUCAGGGACCUCCAGGUGGGAGUAAGGUGCCCCUGAGGCUCGGUCUGGCCCUGCCCCCACCUACGGAGCCCGUACUCUGAGCCUGGGCAGGGAGCACGGAGCUGGGGCUUUGGGGCUCUGGGGGUCGCCCCGGUGGUGCUGAGGGAGUGGCUCUGGGGUCUCACUCCCCACCUCAAGCUGGGCAGCGCUGUUCUCCAAGCUCCUGGAACAAGGCGUCCUUCUCCAUAUGACACAGAGGGUUUCAUGGUUGUACAAAAUCAGCAGUUCGCAGUC
Long non-coding RNA from Hyaena hyaena (striped hyena), 984 nucleotides. RefSeq lists it as uncharacterized. The record is from RefSeq and is a predicted model, not a curated record. The transcript has 4 exons. NCBI's taxonomy places the organism in Eukaryota, Metazoa, Chordata, Mammalia, Carnivora, Hyaenidae.